AGAGUUUGAUCUGGCUCAGGAUGAACGCUAGCUACAGGCUUAACACAUGCAAGUCGAGGGGCAUCAUGGAGUUGCUUGCAAACUCUGAUGGCGACCGGCGCACGGGUGAGUAACGCGUAUCCAACCUUCCCUAUAGUAGAGGAUAGCCCGGCGAAAGUCGGAUUAAUACUCUAUGUUUUCCGUUGCAGACAUCUAAGAUGGAACAAAGGCUUGCCGCUAUAGGAUGGGGGAUGCGUCUGAUUAGGUAGUCGGCGGGGUAACGGCCCACCGAGCCAUCGAUCAGUAGGGGUUCUGAGAGGAAGGUCCCCCACAUUGGAACUGAGACACGGUCCAAACUCCUACGGGAGGCAGCAGUGAGGAAUAUUGGUCAAUGGGCGAGAGCCUGAACCAGCCAAGUAGCGUGCAGGACGACGGCCCUAUGGGUUGUAAACUGCUUUUAUGCGGGGAUAAAGUUCACUACGUGUAGUGUUUUGUAGGUACCGCAUGAAUAAGGACCGGCUAAUUCCGUGCCAGCAGCCGC
RNAcentral lists this ribosomal RNA (520 nucleotides) under uncultured bacterium. RNAcentral describes it as "bacterial SSU rRNA". It matches the Rfam family "Bacterial small subunit ribosomal RNA", at positions 8 to 518 of the family's 1533-position model. The record is from RNAcentral.